AUACAAAAAUACAUAAAAUACACAUUUACUUUCAUAGCAUUACAAAGUAAAGGUAUCCUAAAAUGAUUUUAAGGUCUAAAUCUCGUCAGUAGUAUGUGGAUAAGAUGAAGUACAGUUUAUUAGAGUAUGUGACCUGUUUAGGCUGAAAUCUAAGCACUGUCAUGUAAUGUGAACUACAAUGCAUUGGAUAUUAUCAACGAGUAACACACAAUUGCUACACCAAAACCCAUUUCUAUGCCUCGUUGACCCCGACGACACGAGGGGUCUACAGAAUAAAAUCGGAGUAAAUCGGAGAGGGGUUUGCUGACAGUGCCACCUGGAUGACAACGAGGACAGCGCGAGGGUUAAGCAUUAUGCAUCCGUCGUUUGCAAGCCUAGGUUGAUGUAGCUCACCGGGUGUCUAAAAGCCAGAUGCCUAGAGUUAAUAUUACAAACUUUGUGGAAAUGCCGUAAUAUGGAAACUUGAUUAAAGUUAUGAUUUGGAUGACCAAGGAUUAUCUUGAAACUCGAGGAAACUUGGGACUGAAGCAGCGAAAAUAACUAGUGCUCUUUGCAUGAUGAAGUUGUAGCUAUAGCUGACAGAUUGUACCCUACUUUUUGUUGGCAACAGUGCGGAAAAGCUUUUCUCGUGAAACUUUAUUUGUUACACCUAAAACUAACAGGAUAAUUCUUUAAAAAAAACUUUUCGGAUUCGGUCACAUUGACAACCAAGCGUGGAAAAUAAUUUACAUAUUGCGACGUAAACCUGUAACAGAGGGUUUCUUCCACAGCCGUGUGCAAUUUCAAGACAAACAAAAUGUUGUUUUUGAGAAGUCAGCCUUGACAAUGGGAAAGAAAUCAGUGGCCAUGGCACUCCAAAUCCCAAAACGUCCAGGACUACUUCAGAAGAGUUCAACAACAAGGAUUUGAGAGGAGUAUUCCACGAGCAAGCAACAACUCGAACAUGCUACCAUGUCACGUUGAAACAUAUUGGAACAUGGAAGUUUCUGGUUUUAAAAAGCUGCAAUAACAAAAAGUCAACAAUAAAAGAAAACAACAAAAAUCUGUUUGUCUACUCAAGGAUAAACCCUCAGAGCUCACUGGAAUUAUAGUCAUUUCAGAGUCAAGCAACUCCAGUGACACUGUUCAGGUUAACGGCACCACAGUUGAGUCAAACUUGGACAGAACCAGAACCGAAGCACACACAAUACCAAAACAUGGGGCAGAGGAGAAGAUGUUUGUAUCAAUUUUUACUAAGAAAGAGCACUUGGAGAGUGAAGGGACUCAAACUGGUUUUGACAAACAGCAUCAACAAACUAAAUCUAAUGUGGUAGGCCUGUCUAUCAAGCAGGGUUUCGAAUUAGAAGUCACAGAGUCGAAUUCAGCUUAUCAGACAAUGUCAACUACCCACUCUGUUUGGAGAGAGGAAUUUUCUGGACCGGUCCAAAAUAGAUGCCUUGUAGAAAUACAAGAGUCAAACCCUGUGUUCCCAGUCAAAAGAAUCUUUGCCGCACUACAGAAGAAAUACAAGGAACACAGUAAAGUGUUAAAAUAUCCUGCAGCAGCUUUGAGCAACCCUCCAUCCAUGCUAAACCCAGCGCUAGCCAAACGGAAACUUCAUCAAAACGAGAGAGGAGACUCGGAGAAGCUUCCCAAGCGCUGGAGGUAUGACUUGGAGGAGAUGGCGAAGAAGGAGGCCCUUACCCUGGUCAGUGGUUCCCCUUCCGAAUCUGCCAGUAGGAGCUCCGCGGUGUUUCCAGCAAGGGGCCAGCCCGGGAAGUGCAGGCUGAGCCGGACCCACAGGCUGAGGCAGCUGGAGGAGAGCCUUUGCCUGGGUCCGAGUGAUGAACCAAAGCCUGACCAGGCACAUCAACCAGACUCUGAUGGGGCAACUCUAAGCUGCCACAGGAGAGAAGAUAAACACAUUGAAGAUAUGCUUUGGACGGACAAGUACUGCCCUCAGAACUCAAGCGAGGUCAUCGGCAACUCCUCAUCGGUGAAGAAGCUCCACAGUUGGCUAAGGAGGUGGAAACUGCGAGCGGAUUGUGAAGAGAGGAGAAGGGACCUGGAGAAGAGACAGGAAGACAACAGCAAUGACUCAUGGGACUGCGGAGACUUCCAGGGAGAUGCCUGUGUGGAAGAGGAGGGAGAAGAGCUGUCCACCACCAUGCUCAUCACAGGUCCCUCCGGGGUGGGGAAGACGGCCUCUGUGUACGCCUGUGCCCUGGAGCUGGGCUUUAAGGUGUUCGAGGUGAACGCUUCCUGCCAGCGCAACGGUCGCCAUGUGCUGACUCAGCUGAAAGAGGCCACCCAGUCCCACCUGGUGGACAUUCAGGGACAAGCCCUCCUCAAACCUACUUACCUCAGGAACAGCAGCUCCACCAAACCUGACACCUUGUCUGGGACAGAAACCUCCUCAAGAAGGCUUGUCUCAUCAUCCAGGAAGUUUCCAAAACGGAACUCUUGCAGUGCAAGGCAUAAAGGAAAGGGCAAGCAAGCUGCCAUCACACUGGCCAACUUCUUCAAGAUGAAGAGCAAAGCAGAGGGUAUCGCUGUAGACGGUCUGUCAUCUAAAAACACAGAUAUCCAGACUUCCUCUAACUACCCGUCACCAGACAAUGAACAACCAGCAACCGGGGGACAGCAUAAAAUGACGACCACAUCCCUUAUUCUGUUUGAAGAGGUCGAUAUCAUAUUUGAUGACGACGUGGGAUUCCUCUCGGCGAUCAAGACUUUUAUGUCAACAACCAAAAGACCUGUGAUCCUGACGACAGACGAUCCUUCAUUCCGUGCAAUAUUCAACGCCAACUUCGAAGCGGUUCUUUUCAAAACGCCCUCAACGGUGAACGCGUGCAGCUACCUGCGGCUAUUGUGUCUGGCCGAGAACAUCAGGACGGAGCCUGGUGACAUCACUUCCCUUCUUGAGGUGACCCGUGGUGACAUCAGACGUAGCGUGUUGCAGGUGCAGUUGUGGGGCAGCAGUAGAGAGAAGCGGAGCCCUCAGACGGAAGCUCCGGAAACUUCCAAGGUUCCUGUAACGGUGGACCCCAAGUCUAAAGACCGCAGGCCUCUAUGCCGUCUUCCUCAUUGUGAGCUGAGAUGUACUCCAAGCAUGUUGGGUCUUCUUAAUGCUGAUCUCGGACAAGAGCUGGCGAACUUUCAGAAAUCCUUGAUGGAUACGGAAGUUAUAAAGCUCAUGGAGGUGCUUAAAGAGAGUUGGAGGAGAGGCGUUCCUCUGCUGUACUCAAACCUGGAGCUCCUCUCACGCUCACCAGCUCGAACCCAACCUGCUUCACUCUCCAUCCCAGAGGAAGUGGCUCAAACUGGGCCGCAGAAUCAUCCCAGACCGGUCGACAUCCACCCCCAGACUCCAGAGCUAAGCUGCACCGCCCCCACCAGGACUUCUAGACUGAGUAGAAGGAAACGCGCCCGGGUUUCCGACCCCGGGUCCAUUCACAGCGUUUCACCACAAAGAACCUCGCUGUCGUUGAACAUUCAUUCAAGGACCUCUGGCACUAAUGACAAGCCUACGACUUUAAACCAGGCACGGAGGCUUGAAUCCCAGAGUUUAGAUGCCCUAGCUGACUUCAUGGACCUUAUGUCCCACCUGGAUUCUACCCUUCCCACCCCAGACCUUCACACAGCCGGCCCAUGUAGAUCAGGAGAGUUCAUCUGGACAGGGGCCCGGGUGAAAGACGGACUGCUGGAUGAGAUGCGAGAGGAGGAGCAUGGGAGUUGUAGUUUGGAGAGGGUGUUUGAGAUCCAGGCUGCUCUUGAAGCGUUGGCCUUUCACACGUGCCACACUGUGGUGUCAGGGGUUAUGGGGACAGGGCAGGAUUUGGGGGAGGGGUGUAAGGAUGGGGUCACAGAGGAAGUCACUUCUCCAGUCGCUUCACACAGACAGAUUUUCAGCUUCACUCACACUUCAAUUUUGGAACCAAGUGUGAGCCAAAGAAGAUACGACAUCAACAAGACGGUCUUCACAAGCAGAGCCUUUUCUACCAUGGGCAACAAGCAGGCUAUUGCAGUGGACUACCUGCCUAUCCUGCGCACCAUCUGUCAGUCACAAAGAUCCCAGGAGCAGGCCGGUGGCUGGUUUCAGCAUUACUUCAGCCGUAUUCAACUUGGACUCUCAAAAUCAACCAUCCAGCUCCUUGCCGAAGACUUUCCUUAUUGACCUGUGCAUCUUUAUUGCGUGGAUUUUUUGGGCGACUCCCCACCUCCCAAUCUCUCUCUCCUUUGUAUAACCCAGACCAGAAGCCAAAGAGAAAUCUACCAGGACUGAGGCGUCCCUGUACUUCACCAGCAGGUGCGUGGGGAACUUCACCCUCAGAGAAUUCUGGACCGACGACUCGCUCAUCAUCUGCUGCACCAAC
Molecule: RNA transcript, 4355 nt
Organism: Hypomesus transpacificus
Lineage: Eukaryota; Metazoa; Chordata; Actinopteri; Osmeriformes; Osmeridae
Gene: atad5b
Gene name: ATPase family AAA domain containing 5b
Exons: 14
Source: RefSeq, a predicted model, not a curated record